This 75-nucleotide transfer RNA is filed under the name Bacillota bacterium. RNAcentral's name for it is "Firmicutes bacterium (anaerobic digester metagenome) tRNA-Glu". It matches the Rfam family "tRNA". Rfam says of the family: Transfer RNA (tRNA) molecules are approximately 80 nucleotides in length. Their secondary structure includes four short double-helical elements and three loops (D, anti-codon, and T loops). Lineage: Bacteria; Bacillati; Bacillota. The record is from RNAcentral.
GGCGCAUUAGUCUAGCGGUUAGGACGCCGCCCUCUCAAGGCGGUAGCACGGGUUCGAGUCCCGUAUGCGCUACCA